CAGCCGCCGCGGGAACACGAAGGGUGCAAGCGUUACUCGGAAUUACUGGGCGUAAAGCGUGCGUAGGUGGUGGUUUAAGUCCGUUGUGAAAGCCCUGGGCUCAACCUGGGAAUUGCAGUGGAUACUGGGUCACUAGAGUGUGGUAGAGGAUAGUGGAAUUUCCGGUGUAGCAGUGAAAUGCGUAGAGAUCGGAAGGAACAUCUGUGGCGAAGGCGACUAUCUGGGCCAACACUGACACUGAGGCACGAAAGCGUGGGGAGCAAACAGGAUUAGAUACCCCGGUAGCCUGUCUCUUAUACAC
This 301-nucleotide ribosomal RNA is filed under the name uncultured bacterium. RNAcentral's name for it is "partial 16S ribosomal RNA". It matches the Rfam family "Bacterial small subunit ribosomal RNA", at positions 509 to 809 of the family's 1533-position model. The record is from RNAcentral.